AACGAACGCUGGCGGCAGGCUUAACACAUGCAAGUCGAACGGUUGUAGCAAUACAGCAGUGGCGCACGGGUGAGUAACGCGUGGAUAUCUGCCUUUGGUUUGGAAUAACUCCGGGAAACUGGAGCUAAUACCGGAUGGUUCCUACGGGAUAAAGAUUUAUCGCCAAAAGAUGAGUCCGCGUACGAUUAGCUAGUUGGUGAGGUAAUGGCUCACCAAGGCGACGAUCGUUAGCUGGUCUGAGAGGACGAUCAGCCACACUGGGACUGAGACACGGCCCAGACUCCUACGGGAGGCAGCAGUGGGGAAUAUUGGACAAUGGGGGCAACCCUGAUCCAGCCAUGCCGCGUGAGUGAUGAAGGCCUUCGGGUUGUAAAGCUCUUUUGGUCGGGGACGGAUAAAUGACGGUACCCGCAGAAUAAGCCCCGGCUAACUUCGUGCCAGCAGCCGCGGUAAU
RNAcentral lists this ribosomal RNA (454 nucleotides) under uncultured bacterium. Its description in RNAcentral is "bacterial SSU rRNA". It matches the Rfam family "Bacterial small subunit ribosomal RNA", at positions 29 to 524 of the family's 1533-position model. The record is from RNAcentral.